Molecule: ribosomal RNA, 496 nt
Filed under: uncultured bacterium
Lineage: Bacteria
Description: partial 16S ribosomal RNA
Rfam family: Bacterial small subunit ribosomal RNA
Source: RNAcentral
AUGAACGCUGGCGGCGUGCCUAAUCCCUGCAAGUCGAGCGCACAGACGAGGAGCUUGCUCCUCUGACGUUAGCGGCGGACGGGUGAGUAACACGUGGAUAACCUACCUAUAAGACUGGGAUAACUUCGGGAAACCGGAGCUAAUACCGGAUAAUAUAUUGAACCGCAUGGUUCAAUAGUGAAAGACGGUUUUGCUGUCACUUAUAGAUGGAUCCGCGCCGCAUUAGCUAGUUGGUAAGGUAACGGCUUACCAAGGCGACGAUGCGUAGCCGACCUGAGAGGGUGAUCGGCCACACUGGAACUGAGACACGGUCCAGACUCCUACGGGAGGCAGCAGUAGGGAAUCUUCCGCAAUGGGCGAAAGCCUGACGGAGCAACGCCGCGUGAGUGAUGAAGGUCUUCGGAUCGUAAAACUCUGUUAUUAGGGAAGAACAAAUGUGUAAGUAACUAUGCACGUCUUGACGGUACCUAAUCAGAAAGCCACGGCUAACUACGUG